UUUUUUCUAGUACGAAAGGACCGAAAGAACAUGGCCCAUACUCUAUGCAAGCCAUAAUUACUAACUUAUGACUAAGUCUUAAUAAGUACAUAACCCACCACCCACCUCAAGAAAAGAGC
Molecule: ribosomal RNA, 119 nt
Filed under: Tepuihyla rodriguezi (Rodriguez's Amazon treefrog)
Lineage: Eukaryota; Metazoa; Chordata; Amphibia; Anura; Hylidae
Description: partial 16S ribosomal RNA
Source: RNAcentral